This 427-nucleotide ribosomal RNA is filed under the name uncultured bacterium. Its description in RNAcentral is "partial 16S ribosomal RNA". It matches the Rfam family "Bacterial small subunit ribosomal RNA", at positions 354 to 796 of the family's 1533-position model. The record is from RNAcentral.
GUGGGGAAUAUUGGGCAAUGGGGGAAACCCUGACCCAGCGACGCCGCGUGAGGGAAGAAGGCCUUAGGGUCGUAAACCUCUGUUGUGUGGGAAGAAGAGCGUGACGGUACCACACGAGGAAGUCCCGGCUAACUACGUGCCAGCAGCCGCGGUAAUACGUAGGGGACGAGCGUUGUCCGGAUUUACUGGGCGUAAAGGGCGCGUAGGCGGUCAUUUAAGUCAGAUGUGAAAUGGUUUGGCUUAACCGGAUCAUGCGGUUGAAACUGGAUGACUGGAGUGCUGGAGAGGCAAGUGGAAUUCCCAGUGUAGCGGUGAAAUGCGUAGAUAUUGGGAAGAACACCGGUGGCGAAGGCGACUUGCUGGCCAGCAACUGACGCUGAGGCGCGAAAGCCAGGGGAGCAAACGGGAUUAGAUACCCGGGUAGUCC